This 1271-nucleotide ribosomal RNA is filed under the name Cellulomonadaceae str. WB14. Its description in RNAcentral is "bacterial SSU rRNA". It matches the Rfam family "Bacterial small subunit ribosomal RNA", at positions 106 to 1393 of the family's 1533-position model. Lineage: Bacteria; Bacillati; Actinomycetota; Actinomycetes; Micrococcales; Cellulomonadaceae. The record is from RNAcentral.
GUGAGUAACACGUGAGUAACCUGCCCCUGACUCUGGAAUAACCGUGGGAAACGACGGCUAAUACCGGAUAUGAGACGUCCACGCAUGUGAGCGUCUGGAAAGAUUUAUCGGUCUGGGAUGGACUCGCGGCCUAUCAGCUUGUUGGUGGGGUAAUGGCCCACCAAGGCGACGACGGGUAGCCGGCCUGAGAGGGCGACCGGCCACACUGGGACUGAGAUACGGCCCAGACUCCUACGGGAGGCAGCAGUGGGGAAUAUUGCACAAUGGGCGCAAGCUGAUGCAGCGACGCCGCGUGGGGGAUGAAGGCCUUCGGGUUGUAAACCCUUUCAGCAGGGAAGAAGCGAAAGUGACGGUACCUGCAGAAGAAGCGCCGGCUAACUACGUGCCAGCAGCCGCGGUAAUACGUAGGGCGCAAGCGUUGUCCGGAAUUAUUGGGCGUAAAGAGCUCGUAGGCGGUUUGUCGCGUCUGCUGUGAAAACCCGAGGCUCAACCUCGGGCUUGCAGUGGGUACGGGCAGACUAGAGUUCGGUAGGGGUGACUGGAAUUCCUGGUGUAGCGGUGGAAUGCGCAGAUAUCAGGAGGAACACCGAUGGCGAAGGCAGGUCACUGGGCCGCAACUGACGCUGAGGAGCGAAAGCAUGGGGAGCGAACAGGAUUAGAUACCCUGGUAGUCCAUGCCGUAAACGUUGGGCACUAGGUGUGGGGCUCAUUCCACGAGUUCCGUGCCGCAGCAAACGCAUUAAGUGCCCCGCCUGGGGAGUACGGCCGCAAGGCUAAAACUCAAAGGAAUUGACGGGGGCCCGCACAAGCGGCGGAGCAUGCGGAUUAAUUCGAUGCAACGCGAAGAACCUUACCAAGGCUUGACAUACACCGGAAAAGUGCAGAGAUGUGCUCCCCGCAAGGUCGGUGUACAGGUGGUGCAUGGUUGUCGUCAGCUCGUGUCGUGAGAUGUUGGGUUAAGUCCCGCAACGAGCGCAACCCUCGUCCUAUGUUGCCAGCACGUUAUGGUGGGGACUCAUAGGAGACUGCCGGGGUCAACUCGGAGGAAGGUGGGGAUGACGUCAAAUCAUCAUGCCCCUUAUGUCUUGGGCUUCACGCAUGCUACAAUGGCCGGUACAAAGGGCUGCGAUACCGCAAGGUGGAGCGAAUCCCAAAAAGCCGGUCUCAGUUCGGAUUGGGGUCUGCAACUCGACCCCAUGAAGUCGGAGUCGCUAGUAAUCGCAGAUCAGCAACGCUGCGGUGAAUACGUUCCCGGGCCUUGUACACACCGC